Acanthaster planci (crown-of-thorns starfish) is the source of this 493-nucleotide long non-coding RNA. NCBI's taxonomy places the organism in Eukaryota, Metazoa, Echinodermata, Asteroidea, Valvatida, Acanthasteridae. The record is from RefSeq and is a predicted model, not a curated record.
UGUUUAUAGCUCAAAAGACUGUUUCCAGAAGUAAACAUUUAUUGUCCCGAGAUGAUCGAGUUUUGGUCAGGAAAAUGCGAUAAAGCUGUCGUCAAGGGUGGAGAAAAUUUGUUGUGAGGCAGCAUUGGGUUCCAGUCUAAGAGGCCGGCCAAUUCUGUGAUUCCUGGACGGGGUUCCAGAUGAUCUGUGGCAUUGUGGGAUCCCUGUUGUCUGAGUGGAGCGGACCUGUGCAGAGAGGAUGAACUGUCAAAGACUGGUCCAUGAGGGCGCUGCAGAGGCGGAGCUCAGAGGGUGGGAGGAGGGACAGCCCGUCGGAAGCAAGCCGUCAUGCAAAGAUUGUGGUUGAUGAUUGUCGUUAAGGAACCUUUGAGAGUCAUUGCCAAUCAGAGGUCACAUGACAAGGAUUUGCAGUCGAUGACCACGAAGAAAUGUUGAAUGAGCUCCAUUGGCAGUCAGACAUCACAUGACAAGGUAUUGGCAUCAGCAAAUGGGU